This 705-nucleotide ribosomal RNA is filed under the name Triticum aestivum (bread wheat). RNAcentral describes it as "partial small subunit ribosomal RNA". Lineage: Eukaryota; Viridiplantae; Streptophyta; Magnoliopsida; Poales; Poaceae. The record is from RNAcentral.
AUGAUAAGCCAUCCCUUGGCAUAUGUCGCACCCAACCCCCGACACAAAAGCAUCUUCAGCAACACAAAGCUUCAGUUCCACAUUGCAACUGAAGUAGUGCUCCGGCUAGAUGUGGCGCAAGAGAAGAGUCAGCUCACUCCAAGGGAUUUUUGGUUCAGGAAGACGCAGAAACUGAAGAUCGUUGGUCUCGCGGCGCUUGAGCUGGUCAGAAAGAGGCAGGCAGCGCGAACCACCUGGCUGAAAGCGGGUGAUGCGCGCACUGCUUUCUUCCAGGCAAAGAUCAUCUCCAGGAGGAGGAAGAACCACAUCCACUGCAUUGAGGUCGCGGGCAAGGAGGCAACAAACCACAACGACAAAGCACAACUGAUUCAUCAAUAUUUCUCUGCCCUGCUUGGCACCAAGGGGAGGAGGGCUAGAACAAUCAACUGGGACUCAAUCGAGCUCCCGCGACUGCAGGCUGGGGCUGGACUUGACAACCCCUUCACGGAGGGAGAGGUGUGGACGGCGAUCUGCGCCUCUCUGGCAGAGAAUGCGCCAGGACCAGACGGUUUUAGUGGCACAUUCUUCAGAGUGUGCUGGCAACCAAUCAAUGCAGACAUCAUGGCAGUUUUGAGGCCUUCUACCGGCUUGCUGGCAACGACUUUGCAGCCCUCAACCGUGCAAUCGUUGUGCUGCUGCCAAAGCAAUCCGGCGCAACAAAGCUGA